Molecule: ribosomal RNA, 254 nt
Filed under: uncultured bacterium
Lineage: Bacteria
Description: partial 16S ribosomal RNA
Rfam family: Bacterial small subunit ribosomal RNA
Source: RNAcentral
UACGUAGGGGGCAAGCGUUGUCCGGAUUUAUUGGGCGUAAAGAGCUCGUAGGUGGUUCGGUAAGUCGGAUGUGAAAUCUCCAGGCUCAACCUGGAGGGGUCAUUCGAUACUGCCGUGACUAGAGUUCGGUAGGGGAGUGUGGAAUUCCUGGUGGAGCGGUGAAAUGCGCAGAUAUCAGGAAGAACACCAACGGCGAAGGCAGCUCGCUGGGACGGAACUGUCGCUGAGGCGCGAAAGCGUGGGGAGCGAACAGG